Molecule: long non-coding RNA, 641 nt
Organism: Dioscorea cayenensis subsp. rotundata (Guinea yam)
Lineage: Eukaryota; Viridiplantae; Streptophyta; Magnoliopsida; Dioscoreales; Dioscoreaceae
Exons: 3
Source: RefSeq, a predicted model, not a curated record
ACAAUCCUCAAGCAGAGGCUACACCAGUAACAUGUCCUGCUAGUACUACUUCAUUUGGGCAAAGAAGCCACCAAAAGAAAGUUGUUGAUGCACAAACACCAAAGGAGAACAACAUAAAAAAUGCAAUAAGGCAAAAGAAUGAGACAGGUGUUGCAAUUAAAGGGAGAAGAAACCCACCAGCUGCAAGCCAUGGUGCACUAUAAGUUUUGAGAGGUGCUAACAGUGGAGGACUUUUUAUCGGAAGGGAAAAUCCACAAUCUUCUUCAUUUGUCACUACUGUAAACCUCAUUGCAAGAAAAACUACAAUGGCUGUUGAAAAGAGAAAGCAGAAUGAGGAAGUAAGCCAACAUACAACUGAAGCAUUGGAGGUUUUAGAAUUUUCUACACAGCAGAGUACAACAACAACUGCAACAAAGGAGAAGACUUAACAUUGAAGAUUGGAACACCAGCUUGUGAUCUGUUUUUGAUUGUAGUUAGUUAUCAAUAUCUGUUGUUUGGUUUCUUUUGGUUGUAGAAUUUAAUUUCAUUAUAUAUUUUUAGGUCACAAGCCCAGGGCAAUUUUGUUGUUUUAAUAUGUAAAAGUUAGGAUCAGAAGGUUGUUUCCAUAGAUUUGAUAAAUUCACUAGAAUUGGAAUUUUGAU